Molecule: long non-coding RNA, 400 nt
Filed under: Homo sapiens (human)
Lineage: Eukaryota; Metazoa; Chordata; Mammalia; Primates; Hominidae
Description: non-protein coding TRAM2-AS1:28
Source: RNAcentral
ACUCCUCGCUCCGCUCCUUCCUCCGCGGGAAGGGCAGGCCCCGGAGGCAGCGAGCGCCCCGGGGGUGGCCGGGCAGCCGGAUGCUCCCGGGGUUGCGGGCUGUGGCCCCGGGGGCUGAGGGCGGCGCGGGUGCGGCGGAAGCAGGGAAGCCGCGAACCGGCCUUCUGGCUGGCCACAGCGCCCUGCACGGACGAUCAGUGAAUGGAGAUUACUCAAGUAUUUAUCGAGAACUUGCAGUGGGCUAGGCACAGUUCAGGCUGACCUUUCUCAAAGUUGAACCUUCGUCUUGUGAGGAACAGAAAGAUCAAGAACUCUGAAGCACCUCGACUUUCCACCUGUGAAGAUGUGUUCAAAUUUGCAACGUGCGGCCACACCUAUGAGGUUGAACUUUAUACAAUUG